Meleagris gallopavo (turkey) is the source of this 268-nucleotide non-coding RNA. The record is from RefSeq and is a predicted model, not a curated record. Lineage: Eukaryota; Metazoa; Chordata; Aves; Galliformes; Phasianidae.
GCCAAUGUCUAGGAAGAAAUAAUUGUAAACCACAUUAAUUUUGCUACCUUUCUGUCUUUCAGUUCAGUCUGACAGUGAAACUACAACAGCUUCAUCAGAUUGUCGUGAGGAGCAGUUCCCUUGCACACGCCUGUAUUCUGUUCACAAACCGGUAAAGCAGUGUAUCAGCUACCUUUGCGUUACCAGUGUGCGUCGCAUGUACGUAAUAAACAAGGAGGUGUGCUCUCGCAUUGUCUGCAAGGAAAAUGAAGUCAUGCAAGGUGAGUUA